CGCUGGUAAAAUGGAACCAAAU
Molecule: microRNA, 22 nt
Filed under: Petromyzon marinus (sea lamprey)
Lineage: Eukaryota; Metazoa; Chordata; Hyperoartia; Petromyzontiformes; Petromyzontidae
Description: pma-miR-133b-5p
Gene: pma-miR-133b-5p
Source: miRBase by way of RNAcentral